Long non-coding RNA from Eucalyptus grandis, 1506 nucleotides. RefSeq lists it as uncharacterized. NCBI's taxonomy places the organism in Eukaryota, Viridiplantae, Streptophyta, Magnoliopsida, Myrtales, Myrtaceae. The transcript has 2 exons. The record is from RefSeq and is a predicted model, not a curated record.
ACCUCUCAAAUAACUUUAAACACACCCUUAAAUUUGAAUGGUCUAAAAUAACCUCAUUGGGACCUCAUUAAUGGCAAGAUUGAUGAAAGAGGAAAAACAUACCUUUAAUGUAAAUCAAUCAAUCUCAUUAUCUUUAUACAUCUUUUCUCAACUGUUGUUUCGUAAUCUUGUGAUCAAAUCAGAGACUUUUGCAGAUUUGUUGCUUUUUUACAAGAAUCCUCUAAUAUACAAGUAUUUUAAUAGGUUUAAUGAUCGGAAUUGUAUUUUAGUAGAAUAUUAUAGAGUGGUGAUGUCUAAAACAUUUAUUGGAAACGCUCUCUAAAGUUCAAUUUCUGAUAAGUCCUUGUCAUAUACAAAUAUUUGUUUCAAGUUCUUUUUUAGUGGAAUUCUUUGGUUACAGUUGUGAAGUCCAUAUGAUUUCAAUAUCGAUAUGAGAUAUGUUGAUUAACAAAGAUUACCAAAAUUCCUCAUAUAAUUCAGCUUAAGCACAUUUGUCAGUAUAAGAGAGGUAUAAAAACGAAUGGCAAAUAUCAGAAGGCGGAGAAAUAAAACGCUAUUGUUUUGACUAAUGCAGACAGUUGUAUAUAUCCAUGGUAAUAUGCAGCUUUUGUAUUUUCAAUAAAUAUCAUCUUUCACUCUUUCCACUUUGUGAUUUUGACCAAUUGAUUCUCUUGAUGUUAUUUGCAUCAACUCUAUUAAGUUAGGGGUUGCUAUGGUAAUUUAAAGUAUGGAAAUAGAGGGAGCCUUUAUUUUCACCUCUCUGAGUCUGUAGAAUUGGUGAUUGACAUUUUUGUUUUCCUCUUAAUGACCUUUUGCUUUCUUUGUUUAUUUGUUACGUCGUUCCCAGCUUCCCAUUUUGAUAAAUCUUAAGUUCCAGGUUAGCAAUAUUUGGGACUAUUGAGAGAUGCCAAAAUCAUUAAUGGAAUUUUGAAGUUCAUGGUGACUUAUCGGCACUAGUUGACACCAACUUGAAUUGCCUUUGCCUGAUCCUUUUACAGAUUUCUGAUGCAAGGAUUACAAUCACGGAACCAAAGCCUGGAGCCACCGACACUGUAAUUAUAAUAUCAGGGACGCCUGAGCAAACUCAUGCAGCUCAGUCUCUUAUUCAAGCAUUUGUGAUGAUCGAAUCAGAGUCAGCUUGAUGUUUCUUAUUCAGGUACAAUUGUUCAGGACAGAUGAUGGAGUCUGGGAUUGAGCUAGAAGGCCAUUUUUCCGGUUAUGCUAUUCUCGUAAAUUGUUGACAGGCCUAGCAAAGAAGAAGCGACAAUAUUCAUGUGCUUGUCAGACUAUUUGCAAGCGAAUUGUGGGGUUGAACCAAGUAGAGCAGCCGCUUUAGUUUUAGAUUUGUAUCUUGAGAGUAGUUUGUGAAUUUCAAAUUUGUUACAGAAAUGUUUGUCAAAUCUCAUGCGAAUUCCAUCUCCAUCUGUGAUGUCUAAUAUGUAAACUUGUUACUCUCGGGACAACUAUUCGUGCUAACCACUGCGCUUGAUUCAUUGAAUUCUCACA